Molecule: ribosomal RNA, 293 nt
Filed under: uncultured bacterium
Lineage: Bacteria
Description: partial 16S ribosomal RNA
Rfam family: Archaeal small subunit ribosomal RNA
Source: RNAcentral
GUGCCAGCCGCCGCGGUAAUACCGGCAGCCCGAGUGAUGGCCGAUCUUAUUGGGCCUAAAGCGUCCGUAGCUGGGUCUGAAAGUCCAUCGGGAAAUCCACUCGCUCAACGGGCGGCCGUCCGGCGGAACCUGUGUGGCUUGGGACCGGGAGGCCUGAGGGGUACGAUCGGGGUAGGAGUGAAAUCCUGUAAUCCCGCUCGGACCGCCGAUGGGGAAACCACCUCAGGAGAACGGAUCCGACAGUGAGGGACGAAAGCCAGGGUCUCGAACCGGAUUAGAAACCCGAGUAGUCC